AACGCACAUUGCGCCCGCCAGUAUUCUGGCGGGCAUGCCUGUUCGAGCGUCAUUUCAACCCUCAAGCUCCGGCUUGGUGUUGGGGAUCGGCAGCGCGGCUUCGUGCCGACGCCGUCCCCCAAAUGCAGUGGCGGUCACGCUGUAGCUUCCUAUGCGUAGUAGCACACCUCGCACUGGAGAGCAGCGCGGCCACGCCGUAAAACCCCCUACUUUUUGUGGUUGACCUCGAAUCAGGUAGGACUACCCGCUGAACUUAA
Molecule: unclassified non-coding RNA, 257 nt
Filed under: uncultured fungus
Lineage: Eukaryota; Fungi
Description: partial contains 5.8S ribosomal RNA, internal transcribed spacer 2, and large subunit ribosomal RNA
Rfam family: 5.8S ribosomal RNA (bases 1-52)
Source: RNAcentral